UAUGUGAUCGUCUCUCGCAUAUCAAUAAGCGGAGGAAAAGAAACUAACAAGGAUUCCCCUAGUAACGGCGAGUGAAGCGGGAAGAGCUCAAAUUUGAAAUCUUAAAGGGUUUCCCUUUACGAAUUGUAGUUUAAAGAAGUGUUUUCUGUUGAGGUUUUGGUAAAAGUUCUUUGGAAUAGGACAUCAUAGAGGGUGAGAAUCCCGUAUUUGACCUUUACUUUCAACUUUGUGAUACACUUUCAAAGAGUCGGAUUGUUUGGGAAUGCAGUCCAAAAUGGGUGGUAAAUUUCAUCUAAAGCUAAAUAUUGGCGAGAGACCGAUAGCGAACAAGUACCGUGAGGGAAAGAUGAAAAGAACUUUGAAAAGAGAGUUAAACAGUACGUGAAAUUGUCAAAAGGGAAGCGUUUGACACCAGUGUUGUUUUUCUGAAAAUCAAUUAAAGAACUGUUUAUGCUAAGUUGUUUAGACUUUAUCAGCUAACUGUUUAGUUUUGAGCUUUUCUUUAAUGCACUUUUCAGUUAACAAGUCAACAUCAAUUUCUUUUGCCUGUAAAAAAGCUUGAGGAAGGUGGCUUGAGAUUCGUCUUAAGUGUUUAUAGCCUCUUGCCUAUGCAGUCGGAGAGAUUGAGGUCUGCAGCGUAGAUCCUUCGGGGCUAAAUGCAUUUGUGCUAAGUUAUAGCAUUUUAUAGACAACUUGUUGACUAUGAUUUGUCUUGUAGCUUACUCGCUUAUGUUAUUUUACCUACGCUUAGGAUGUUGACACACGCGCGUGCUCGACUCUAUACAUGACUCUGUGCAUAUCAAUAAGCGGAGGAAAAGUCAACUACCUACGCUUAGGAUGUUGACACACGCGCGUGCUCGGCUCUAUACAUGACUCUGUGCAUAUCAAUAAGCGGAGGAAAAGGCUGCGGGACUGAACGACCGCUACCUACGCUUAGGAUGUUGAUCUCUCACAGCGAGC
RNAcentral lists this ribosomal RNA (960 nucleotides) under uncultured Neocallimastigales. Its description in RNAcentral is "partial large subunit ribosomal RNA". It matches the Rfam family "Eukaryotic large subunit ribosomal RNA", at positions 24 to 625 of the family's 3401-position model. Lineage: Eukaryota; Fungi; Neocallimastigomycota; Neocallimastigomycetes; Neocallimastigales. The record is from RNAcentral.